This is an RNA transcript of Durio zibethinus, 3008 nucleotides long. It is a transcript of the gene named heat shock protein 70 (Hsp 70) family protein, with no coding region annotated. Lineage: Eukaryota; Viridiplantae; Streptophyta; Magnoliopsida; Malvales; Malvaceae. The record is from RefSeq and is a predicted model, not a curated record.
UUAUUUCAAACGGCAUUAAUCUCACCCCAGCGGCCAAACUUGUCCCGAAUCGUAGAGCCUUUACUUGUUAAUAUUUUUCCCAUUAACGUAUCGUUUACUUGUACGGCAAGAGACAGAGAGAGAUCGAUGAUCGCAGACUUUUAGCGUUCGAUUCCCAAAGCCAAACAGUCCCCAACUUGCUUUUGAUUUCUUUCAUUUCAGCUGGUGGAUUUGUUUUGGAUGCUGGAAAUUUGAAGCUUUUGUACUUUUUGAUCUUGGGAAAAUUUGAAGCAGUUGCUUAGGGAUAAGAUAUCUUGGAAAUUUUGAUGAAUGUGGGUGUAAUUGUUGGAAAUUUUAUGUGUUAGUGUUUGAAUUUAGUGGAGAAAUGAGUGUGGUAGGGUUUGAUAUUGGGAAUGAGAACUGCGUUAUUGCGGUUGCUAAGCAACGCGGUAUCGAUGUGUUGUUGAAUGAUGAAUCGAAGCGUGAGACACCUGCCGUUGUUUCAUUUGGUGAGAAACAAAGGUUCAUGGGCUCAGCUGGAGCUGCUUCUGCAACCAUGAAUCCUAAAUCUACUAUUUUACAGGUUAAGAGAUUGAUUGGUAGGAAGUUUAGCGAACCUGAUUUGGAGAAAGAACUUAAUUUGUUCCCUUUCGAAACUUUUGAAGGUCCUGAUGGUGGAAUUUUGAUCCGAUUACAGUUUUUGGGCGAGGUUCAUGAAUUUACUCCUGUACAGAUUUUGGGGAUGUUGCUUUCACAUUUAAAGCAGAUUGCUGAGAAGAAUUUGGAAAUGCCUGUUUCGGAUUGUGUGAUAGGAAUUCCAUCUUACUUCACUGAUUUACAGAGGCAUGCUUAUUGGGAUGCAGCAGUGAUUGCUGGACUAAAGCCGUUGAGAUUGUUGCAUGAUUGUACUGCCACUGCCCUUGGAUAUGGAAUUUACAAGACUGAUUUCUCUGACUCCGGUCCAAUUUAUACUGUCUUUGUGGAUGUUGGUCAUUGUGACACGCAGGUUUGUGUUGCAUCAUUUGAGACUGGACAAAUGAAGAUUAUCUCUCAUGCUUUUGACAGGAGCUUGGGAGGACGAGAUUUUGAUGAAGUUUUGUUCAAUUACUUUGCAUCCCAAUUUAAGGAGCAGUAUAACAUUGAUGUUUAUACAAAUAUAAAGGCUUCUAUUAGGUUGAGGGCAUCCUGUGAGAAGCUGAAGAAGGUCUUGAGUGCAAAUGCAGAAGCACAACUUAAUAUAGAGUGCUUGAUGAAUGAGAAAGAUGUUAGGGGUUUUAUCAAGAGGGAGGAGUUUGAGAAGUUGUCAUCUGACUUGUUGGAAAGGAUUAGUGUCCCUUGUCACAAGGCUUUGGCGGAUUCUGGUCUGACUCUGGGUAAAAUCAAUUCAGUUGAGCUUGUUGGAUCAGGCUCUCGAAUUCCAGCUAUCACAAGGAUUUUAGCUUCUAUAUUCAACCGAGAGCCUAGCCGAACAAUAAAUGCUAGUGAGUGUGUGGCUCGUGGUUGUGCUCUUCAGUGUGCAAUGCUCAGCCCAAUAUUUCGUGUUAGAGAGUAUGAGGUUCAAGAUUCUCUUCCUUUAUCUAUUGGAUUCUCAUCUGACAGGGGUCCAGUUUGCACACUGUCAAAUGGUGUGCUUUUUCCAAAAAGGCACCCAUUUCCAAGCCUUAAGAUUCUUACUUUGCAUAGAACUAAUACAUUCCAUAUGGAAGCUUUCUAUGUAAAUCCAAAUGAGUUACCUUCUGGAUUAUCACCUCAAAUUAAUACUUUCACGAUUGGACCUAUGCAAUCCCACACAAACAUGGCUAAAGUGAGGGUCAGAGUUCAGCUAAAUCUUCAUGGGAUUGUCUUAUUGGAUUCAGCUUUGCUAAUAGAAGAGCACAUGGAUAGCUCUGUGACGUACAAUGAUCCCCAUUUGACUUCAGAAGAGGUGGAGGACAAAUCUGAUAGGAUGUCUUCAGUAGAAAAUAAUGCUGAAGUCAGCGAUCAUGUACAAUCAGAACCUCCAUCUGGUCCUGCUGCUGGUGUGGCAAGAAAAGGAAGCGUUCUGAAAAGGUUGGAAAUUCCAAUUAGUGAGAGUGUCUCUGGUGGAACAAAAAGGACUGAUCUCACUAAAGCUGAAGAGAAAGAACGUUGGUUAAUGCAACAGGACUUAAAGAUGGAGCAAGCAAAAGAGAAGAAAAAUGCCCUGGAGUCUUAUGUUUAUGAGAUGCGUGAUAAGAUUUUAAAUGCAUACCGGAGCUUUGCCAAUGAGUCAGAGAGUGAAGAGAUUUCUAGAAAACUUCAGCAGACAGAAGAUUGGCUUUAUGAGGAUGGAAUGGAUGAAUCUGAAAAUGUUUAUGUAGAGAAGCUUGAGGAUUUGAAAAAGCUUGUGGACCCUAUUGAAAAUCGAUAUAAAGAUGAAGAGGCUCGAGUACAAGCAACAAGGGAUCUGCUAAAGUUUAUUGCAGAUUAUCGGAUGGCUGCAGGAUCACUUUCAUCCAUUAAGAAAGAAGCGGUCAUUGAUGAGUGUAAUAAAGCAGAGUGGUGGUUACAAGAGAAAUCCCAACAACAGAAUUCCUUGCCCAAAGAUGUUGAUCCAAUGGUUUGGUCAAGUGAGAUCAAGAGAAAAGCAGAGGCUUUCGAAGCGACUUGCAAAUAUAUGAUUAGUUCCAAUGCUUCUCCACCAAGGAGGGAUGAUACGAAUGACUCGGAUCAGAUGGCAUGCAGUUAGAUUGAUAUUGAUAUGCGUAAAUUUAUAACACCGAAGACCAAACAACACGUAAAAGCAACUAAACCCAGCUACAGUUUGAAUGAUCAAGAUUUAUACUUACUGAUUGAAAAUUGAUUGGUUUAUUAGUUCCACUGCAUCAUCUUUGGUCGAAGUGAGAGCCGACUUUGUUUAUCUUGUUAGCAAGUUUUGAGGGGAAAAAAGAAGAAAGAAAAAGUCUCGAUCAUAAAUUACAAGUUCCACAUAGAGGAAGAAGCGAGUAUCAAAAUACUGUCAGAUGUAUGCACAUCAGCCACUGAGGCACUGACUGCUAUAGUAAAUCGAA